CCUACGGGGGGCUGCAGUGGGGAAUUUUGGACAAUGGGCGCAAGCCUGAUCCAGCAAUGCCGCGUGCAGGAAGAAGGCCUUCGGGUUGUAAACUGCUUUUGUCAGGGAAGAAAUCUUCUGGGCUAAUACCCCGGGAGGAUGACGGUACCUGAAGAAUAAGCACCGGCUAACUACGUGCCAGCAGCCGCGGUAAUACGUAGGGUGCGAGCGUUAAUCGGAAUUACUGGGCGUAAAGCGUGCGCAGGCGGCUUUGCAAGACAGAUGUGAAAUCCCCGGGCUCAACCUGGGAACUGCAUUUGUGACUGCAAGGCUAGAGUACGGCAGAGGGGGAUGGAAUUCCGCGUGUAGCAGUGAAAUGCGUAGAUAUGCGGAGGAACACCAAUGGCGAAGGCAAUCCCCUGGGCCUGUACUGACGCUCAUGCACGAAAGCGUGGGGAGCAAACAGGAUUAGAUACCCCAGUAGUC
RNAcentral lists this ribosomal RNA (465 nucleotides) under uncultured Aquabacterium sp. RNAcentral describes it as "bacterial SSU rRNA". It matches the Rfam family "Bacterial small subunit ribosomal RNA", at positions 338 to 795 of the family's 1533-position model. The record is from RNAcentral. Lineage: Bacteria; Pseudomonadati; Pseudomonadota; Betaproteobacteria; Burkholderiales; Sphaerotilaceae.